UGCAGUCGAACGGUGAAGAGGAGCUUGCUCCUUGGAUUAGUGGCGAACGGGUGAGUAACACGUGAGUAACCUGCCCUUGACUCUGGGAUAACUGCUAGAAAUGGUAGCUAAUACCGGAUACGACCCUCGGCCGCAUGGUCAGGGGGUGGAAAGAAUUUUGGUCAAGGAUGGACUCGCGGCCUAUCAGGUAGUUGGUGAGGUAAUGGCUCACCAAGCCUACGACGGGUAGCCGGCCUGAGAGGGUGACCGGCCACACUGGGACUGAGACACGGCCCAGACUCCUACGGGAGGCAGCAGUGGGGAAUAUUGCACAAUGGGCGAAAGCCUGAUGCAGCAACGCCGCGUGAGGGACGACGGCCUUCGGGUUGUAAACCUCUUUUAGUAGGGAAGAAGCGAAAGUGACGGUACCUGCAGAAAAAGCACCGGCUAACUACGUGCCAGCAGCCGCGGUAAUACGUAGGGUGCAAGCGUUGUCCGGAAUUAUUGGGCGUAAAGAGCUCGUAGGCGGUUUGUCGCGUCUGCUGUGAAAUCCGGAGGCUCAACCUCCGGCCUGCAGUGGGUACGGGCAGACUAGAGUGCGGUAGGGGAGAUUGGAAUUCCUGGUGUAGCGGUGGAAUGCGCAGAUAUCAGGAGGAACACCAAUGGCGAAGGCAGAUCUCUGGGCCGUAACUGACGCUGAGGAGCGAAAGCAUGGGGAGCGAACAGGAUU
RNAcentral lists this ribosomal RNA (709 nucleotides) under uncultured bacterium. RNAcentral describes it as "bacterial SSU rRNA". It matches the Rfam family "Bacterial small subunit ribosomal RNA", at positions 56 to 779 of the family's 1533-position model. The record is from RNAcentral.